GCCAAGUUGCUAUCUUCAAAAGGCAUUUUGUGAGAAGUGAAUUGUUUCCUUUUCAGGUUUCAGGUGCCCAGUGCAUCAGGAUAGGAAUUAGAACAGAGGGUUGCAACAGCACGGCAGUGCCCUCCCACUGCCAGAAGGGAGACCCUGAGGACCAGGCUUGACUGCAAACGCACAGAGCUGCUCAGAUCAGCCUUGUUUGGCCUGUGCUCCUCCUGCCUACAGAGGAUGGAAGGAUUGAAGUCACCAGGAAGAUGGACCACAGGGCACGAUGAUUCUCCCAAACAGAAGAGAGGUGCAGAG
Molecule: long non-coding RNA, 300 nt
Filed under: Chinchilla lanigera (long-tailed chinchilla)
Lineage: Eukaryota; Metazoa; Chordata; Mammalia; Rodentia; Chinchillidae
Description: lncRNA (ENSCLAG00000028350.1)
Source: RNAcentral